Long non-coding RNA from Labeo rohita (rohu), 347 nucleotides. RefSeq lists it as uncharacterized. Lineage: Eukaryota; Metazoa; Chordata; Actinopteri; Cypriniformes; Cyprinidae. The record is from RefSeq and is a predicted model, not a curated record. The transcript has 3 exons.
CCAAGUGACGAACUUGCAAACGUAAGCUUUUUAAUGGUCGGCGCGUUUCUUUUAUUCGAUUCGAAAGGGAAAAACACGGUAGAAAUUGGCAUUUUGAGUUACAUGAGGACACACACAUUCAUGUAGAGACAUACUGAAGUUUAAUAACGAAUAUUGGACCUUUCCAAGGAUCAUCCAGACAUCAAACCAGACAUCAGUUCAUCGCCAAUUAUUUUGAAGCCUACCGUAUAGGACCUGUCCUGUUCUGUUGGCAAUUCAAGUGCAUUAGUGCUGGUUGCUGUUUACUGCCAUUUUAUGGACGAGCAUGUGGUCCAAAAGAGAGAAGAAGAAAAGAACAACACCAGGGU